RNAcentral lists this ribosomal RNA (253 nucleotides) under uncultured bacterium. RNAcentral describes it as "partial 16S ribosomal RNA". It matches the Rfam family "Bacterial small subunit ribosomal RNA", at positions 524 to 776 of the family's 1533-position model. The record is from RNAcentral.
UACGGAGAGUGCAAGUAUUAAUCGGAAUUAUUGGGCGUAAAGGGCGCGUAGGCGGAUAUAUAAGUCAGAUGUGAAAUUCCGAAGCUCAACUUCGGAGCUGCAUUUGAAACUAUAAGUCUAGAGGAUUGACGGAGAAAACGGAAUUCCACGUGUAGCGGUGAAAUGCGUAGAUAUGUGGAAGAACACCUGUGGCGAAAGCGGUUUUCUAGUUUAUACCUGACGCUGAGGCGCGAGAGCAAGGGGAGCAAACAGG